CCAGCAGCUGCGGUAAUACGUAGGGUGCAAGCGUUAAUCGGAAUUACUGGGCGUAAAGCGUGCGCAGGCGGUUAUAUAAGUCAGAUGUGAAAUCCCUGGGCUCAACCUAGGAACUGCAUUUGAGACUGUAUGGCUAGAGUGUGUCAGAGGGGGGUAGAAUUCCACGUGUAGCAGUGAAAUGCGUAGAUAUGUGGAGGAAUACCGAUGGCGAAGGCAGCCCCCUGGGAUAACACUGACGCUCAUGCACGAAAGCGUGGGGAGCAAACAGGAUUAGAUACCCUGGUAGUCCACGCCCUAAACGAUGUCUACUAGUUGUUGGGUCUUAAUUGACUUAGUAACGCAGCUAACGCGUGAAGUAGACCGCCUGGGGAGUACGGUCGCAAGAUUAAAACUCAAAGGAAUUGACGGGGACCCGCACAAGCGGUGGAUGAUGUGGAUUAAUUCGAUGCAACGCGAAAAACCUUACCUACCCUUGACAUGUACAGAAUGCCGAAGAGAUUUGGCAGUGCUCGC
This 513-nucleotide ribosomal RNA is filed under the name uncultured Undibacterium sp. RNAcentral's name for it is "bacterial SSU rRNA". It matches the Rfam family "Bacterial small subunit ribosomal RNA", at positions 508 to 1021 of the family's 1533-position model. Lineage: Bacteria; Pseudomonadati; Pseudomonadota; Betaproteobacteria; Burkholderiales; Oxalobacteraceae. The record is from RNAcentral.